This 635-nucleotide ribosomal RNA is filed under the name uncultured Actinomycetes bacterium. RNAcentral's name for it is "bacterial SSU rRNA". It matches the Rfam family "Bacterial small subunit ribosomal RNA", at positions 234 to 885 of the family's 1533-position model. The record is from RNAcentral. Lineage: Bacteria; Bacillati; Actinomycetota; Actinomycetes.
CGCCUGGGGAGUACGGGUGAGGUAACGGCUCACCAAGGCAUCGACGGGUAGCUGGUCUGAGAGGAUGAUCAGCCACACUGGGACUGAGACACGGCCCAGACUCCUACGGGAGGCAGCAGUAGGGAAUAUUGCACAAUGGGCGAAAGCCUGAUGCAGCAACGCCGCGUGCGGGAAGAAGGCCCUAGGGUUGUAAACCGCUUUCAGCAGGGAAGAAAAUGACGGUACCUGCAGAAGAAGGUGCGGCCAACUACGUGCCAGCAGCCGCGGUGACACGUAGGCACCAAGCGUUGUCCGGAUUUAUUGGGCGUAAAGAGCUCGUAGGCGGUUCAGUAAGUCGGGUGUGAAAACUCUUGGCUCAACCCAGAGACGCCACUCGAUACUGCUGUGACUUGAGUCCGGUAGGGGAGUGGGGAAUUCCUGGUGUAGCGGUGAAAUGCGCAGAUAUCAGGAGGAACACCAAUGGCGAAGGCACCACUCUGGGCCGAGACUGACGCUGAGGAGCGAAAGCGUGGGUAGCAAACAGGAUUAGAUACCCUGGUAGUCCACGCCGUAAACGGUGGGCACUAGGUGUGGGUUCCAACCAACGGGAUCCGCGCCGUCGCUAACGCAUUAAGUGCCCCGCCUGGGGAGUACGG